This 345-nucleotide ribosomal RNA is filed under the name Cylindrophis ruffus (red-tailed pipe snake). RNAcentral's name for it is "partial 12S ribosomal RNA". It matches the Rfam family "Bacterial small subunit ribosomal RNA", at positions 875 to 1384 of the family's 1533-position model. The record is from RNAcentral. Lineage: Eukaryota; Metazoa; Chordata; Lepidosauria; Squamata; Cylindrophiidae.
AAAUAACUACGAGUGAAAACUUAAAACUUAAAGGACUUGACGGUACUUCACACUCAACCUAGAGGAGCCUGUCUAUUAACCGAUAUUCCACGAUUAACCCAACCAUUUCUAGCCAUCCAGCCUAUAUACCGCCGUCGCCAGCCUACCUUGUAAAAGAAACAAAGUAAGCUAAACAGUAUUACACUAACACGACAGGUCAAGGUGUAACUAAUGAAAUGGACCAAGAUGGGCUACAUUAUCUAACUCAGAUAACACGAAUAAAGUCAUGAAACUAACUCUUAAAGGCGGAUUUAGCAGUAAGCCGAGAAUAGAACACUCAACUGAAACCAAUGCAAUGAAGUGCGU